This 331-nucleotide unclassified non-coding RNA is filed under the name Hevea brasiliensis (rubber tree). The record is from RNAcentral. Lineage: Eukaryota; Viridiplantae; Streptophyta; Magnoliopsida; Malpighiales; Euphorbiaceae.
AGGGAGAUUUUCACCCCAAUGUUUUUCUUUUUGGCUCAAAAACCACAUUCAUAGAGUCAGUAAGCUCUAAUGCAAACCAAUUUGCCCGCUGAUUUAACGCUUAAAUCUUCCUGGGCAUCCUCUCAGUUUGUAUCAGUAUCCAAUUUCCGUGAACUGAUAGGCAGCUUCUAUGUUAUGUACAACUCAUGUGUUCAAUUUCCAGAGUUGUUUUGUACCUAUUGCUAUUUGCUUGAUGAAAUUUCAUCAUAUUUGUGUUCCAGUGUUGUUUCUUAACUAAUCUAACAUAUUAGAAUUUUGCCUUGCCUAAUUGGCUUUUUUGCAGACAAAAAAG